UACGGAGGGGGCGAGCGUUAUUCGGAAUUAUUGGGCGUAAAGGGCGCGUAGGCGGCCGGAUAAGUCAAAGGUGAAAUCCCUCGGCUCAACUGAGGAACUGCCUUUGAAACUGUUUGGCUUGAGGCCGGGAGGGGGUAGCGGAAUUCCCAAUGUAGCGGUGAAAUGCGUAGAUAUUGGGAGGAACACCAGUGGCGAAGGCGGCUACCUGGACCGGUUCUGACGCUGAUGCGCGAAAGCGUGGGUAGCAAACAGG
This 253-nucleotide ribosomal RNA is filed under the name uncultured bacterium. Its description in RNAcentral is "partial 16S ribosomal RNA". It matches the Rfam family "Bacterial small subunit ribosomal RNA", at positions 524 to 776 of the family's 1533-position model. The record is from RNAcentral.